This is a long non-coding RNA of Acinonyx jubatus (cheetah), 4482 nucleotides long. RefSeq lists it as uncharacterized. The transcript is spliced from 2 exons. Lineage: Eukaryota; Metazoa; Chordata; Mammalia; Carnivora; Felidae. The record is from RefSeq and is a predicted model, not a curated record.
GAGACUCAGAGAGGGCAGUGAGGUGACCUGUUAUGUCCAAGGUCACACAGAUGGGCUUGCUACCGCUGGGUCUCAGGUUUUCUGGCUCCAUUCAUGCUAUGUUCCAUUCCAGCGUGCUUGCUGAUCUCUUAUGUUAUCAGAUUUGAAAGUUGAGGAACAUUGCUAAGAAUGAUAGCACUAUAUUUGAGAGCUCAACAAUGUCCAUCAAGAGAUUCGCAGUUAUGAUUUGCUAUAAAAAUGCCAAAUACAAAAAUAAGAAUUUCCAUUUUUUGGAUGAUUGGAGGAGGAGACACUGUGGCUGUGUUAAAACACUAGCCCCAUGUGUCAAGAAGGCUUCCGAAGUUCAUCAUCCUCCUCUAAGCUGUCAGCAAAGUUUCCAUGGUGUGCUACAGCUGGCUUGCCCCCAUUAGUGAAAGCCAAUCGUGAGCAACUUUUUUUUUACUUCAUGGUUUAGUGAUGUCACAUUGCUAGCUUGAAAUCAGCCAUGGCGCAAGAAUGUACCCCAUGGAAAUCAGCAAAUGCUACAAUUCAGGGCUUUUCCAUCCCAGGGAACCAGGCAUUAAACAUUUACCAGCACGUCACUGCUCACAGCUACCAGGGACUGACUCAAACUAGAAGUUCGAAAGUUCUCCUCUGUCAUCUGCAUGGGACCAUCUUCAGUGUUGAUUUUUCUUCUAACCACAAGUCAUACCCCAUUCAUGGGAUCAUGCCAUUCCUUAAAUAGGAGGCUCUUUCUGUCCGAGCUUGCAAAAUCAGACGGGUGGGUUUUCUACUAAUAGGUUCUCAUAUUUGUAUAGUUUGCAAAGAGUUUUCAUAUCCCUCAUGACUUCUGAGCCUCGUGUGCUCUAUGGGACAGAUGCCUUCUCCUCUCGUUAAAGAAGAAGAGCCUGAAGAUCUGACAAAUGAUGUGACCACUCCCAGAGUCAUUGGCCUAGCAAGGGGCAGGGGGGGCUUGAACUGGUUUUUCCACUUCCUUGGUUUGUGACCCUUCCCCUUGUAUGAGGCCCCUCCUUGACUUGUGAGACUUGCAAUGCUGGCAGCUCAGGCUACCGUCUGGGGCAAGGAGAAAGGAUGCCCUGUAGCAGCCUGGGGUAUAACAUUUGUCCCUGCCCUGAACAGAAAAGGACAGACACACUGGCUUAGGAGUACCUGCAAAAAUUGCUAGCCCCACUUUACUGAUCCUGUGCAAGGAAAGGAGUCUACUUUCACUCUUCCUUUGUCCUUGGUUCUGCCUUCGAUUCCUUUAAAAACUUUUAUGGGAGCCUAGCGUCUCUGGGCCCUGCUGUAAGUCCUGCCCUUAGCAGGAAUUUGGAGCCUCCUAAGUGACUGGCAUUAAUGCCCUGCUUCCCCUCUUGCACAACUCCCAGCUUCUCUAUUGCCCGGUGAUGGAAUUAUUGAUUGGUAAGCAUUUCACAACACAUUUUCAAAACAUGCUGAAGGUCAAAAAUUAAUGACUCAUGGGCAGUCACACUUGUUUCUGCCUCAGCCUCUCUGGAUUAUAUUGGUGAAGCUGGUUAAUAGAAGUCACUGGAGAACCCGAGGUCAAAGUUGACUGUCCAACCCUGACCAGCGGGACCAUUAAGUGACUUGAAGACAUAAUUCUUGAUCUUUUAUUUGGUGAUUAAUCUGCUGAAUCACUUUGGUUUUUCAUACCAAAGAAUGUAAGAGGGUAAUGAGAGGAUUUCAGUGCUGAAUUGGCCACCAACUUCCCCCAGAGUAUUAGAGUACUGGAGUACCGGAGAGGUCCUCAGCUGAAGAAGGCGGCUUGGGGCAUAGGUAAGGGAGCACUUUGCUCUGAUAGCUGGGAUUCUACACUAGCCCUUUGGAGAACAAAACCAAACCCCUGAGCCAGUCUUGGAGAUACUUACUCACAUCUGUGCUCGAAGCCAGAAAGAGCUCCGUGUGAGACCGUAUGGAAGAAUGCCUUAGGACACAGUAGCAAAGAGAAAUCCAGAUCAGGAGGCAAGGGAUCUGGGUUAACUCUCAACUCUGCCACCUGCGAUUUGAAUACACUGACCAAUUGCUAGACCUGUGUCAGGACCUUGGUUUCCUCACGUGUAACACAGAGACGGUGACGAACGCUUUCUUUCAGAGGGCUGCCUCAAAGGUCAAGUCCCUGACGGACGUGAACUUUUCCAGGUACAAACCGAAAUGCGUGGGGCAGCUACGGCAUGGUUCUACAUGGGCUAGUUGAACGUUUUGAGGGAAUGAAUAUCAAGGGGACGUUUGUUUUCUUCUUGAUAUGAAAAUUUGUUCUCACCUUUUUUUUUUUUUUUUCCUGUUUUUCCCCAGAGAGUAAUCUAACUUGCAGAAUUCGUUUCCAAAUGCCUUUUCGGGGGCAGCCGUGGGACUGGAAAUUUCUUUUGUACUAGUUCUCCUAUAGGUUGUUAUACUUUAAAGUACCUGAAGGUCCUGUAAUUCUAAUAUAAUGUAAUGCCAGAACUAAGAGGUGUGAUGUCGUGGAAGUAUCUGUGACGUCUGUGUCUCCUGGACUCUGCAGCAUAGCCCUUCUCCACAUGCAUUCCCACACAUUCUCCCUCUCGCAGCUGUGUGGGCAGCGUUGCUCCCCUGCUGCUGACUGGUGAAUGUGCCAGUAAAAAAAGGAAGCAGGGGCACCUGGCUGGUGUGCCCCUCUUGAUCAUGGAGUUGAGAGUUCGAGCCCUGUGUUGGAUGUAGAGAUCGCUUAAAAAAAUAAUAAAAUCUUAAAACGUGAAUAAAUAAAAAGGAAGCAAAUUCAGUUACGUAAAACACAGCCUGGGUGAGGAAAGGCAAGUAUGUGUUUCGACUUGAUUGAAAUCGCUUUUUUUCCCACCAGUUUGUCCUCUUGUCAGGACAUGUCAGAACUUACCGAGCCCUUGGCAGUCCCUGUUCUCACCUCUUCAUUGUACUUAAGAGCAACCUAAGGCUUAGAGCCUAGAGGUGACUUCAUCAGGGUCACAAAGCCAGCUUUUGGGGCAGAAUCAGGAUUCAAGCACCCAUCUCCUGACUUCUCCUGUCUCCUAUCUCCAGUACCCCACAUGUAAGUGGUGACUCUAAAAGAAAAGAGAAAAAAAAAUAGAACUUCAUUGGAAUAUCUUGGGUUACUGGCUUUCUUUUUUCUUUUUUCUUUUUUUUUUUAAUUUUUUUUUUUUAAUGUUUUUUUAUUUUAUUUUUGAGACAAAGAGAGAGCAUGAGCAGGGAAGGGGCAGAGAGAGAGAGGGAGACACAGAAUCAGAAGCAGGCUCCAGGCUCUGAGCCAUCAGCACAGAGCCCGAUGCAGUGCUUGAACUCACAGACCGUGAGAUCAUGACCUGAGCCGAAGUCAUAUGCUCAACCGACUGAGCCACCCAGGCGCCCCGGGUUACUGGUUUUCAAGGAUAGUUUUAUGACUGGCAGUAACAAUGCCUCAAAAGCUAUGGUAGCCAGCUUCGAUGAACUUAUGUAAUGCGCACUUAUCAUAGAAGACGUGUCAUCAAACACCUGCUAGAUCUGAGCGUUGGUGCCUAAAUUGCUUUUAUUGUCAAAGAGAAGAAGGGGAAAAGGAACUCGGCUGAACAAAGCUGGAGGACUUUUUAUUAGAAAAUUCGGAGGCAAUUUCUGGAGGAACAGGAACACAUUUCCAAAGGCUUCUAAAAUGUACAUCAAUGGGAUUGGGUGAAUUUAGUAGUUAAAGAAGUGAAAGGCACUGAGUAUCGUUUGGUGCCUAAGGCUUCUUUCAGACAGGUCUCUUCUGUUUGCCUUGGUCACAAAGCUCUAGGAGCCUCAAGGUGGGCAGGCCCAGAGGUUUCCCAGAGCAAUGUCUGAGGUUGCUGGUUUCCAUUCAGGCUUCCAGGCAAACACACACCAAAACACUCGUGGUUCUCACUGGGAUCUCUUCUCAUUAGCGGAACAUGACCAAAGUCGAAGAGACAUGGGCCAUUUGUCUCUCCACCUGAGUCCAUCCAUACAAAGUGGACUUUGGCCUAUUUUGGAGGUCAGCCUACAUCAACAGGAUGGGACAUUUGCCAAAUACACGGUCACUUGCCUUUGGUUCCCCACAAAUUUUUGAACGGCAAGAGCUGUUCAUUUAUUUACUCACCUAAUAGUUAUUAUUAAGGGCGCACUGAACUAGAAAACCUGUGCAGGUAUAAUGGGCUCUCUGCAUCUCAGUUUUCUCCCCCGAAUGAGACUAUUCAUUACCUGCCUUGCAGAUCGCACCUUGUUGCUGGGAACAUCCCAUGAAUGACGUGUGGAACUGCUGUUUCGACUCUCAAGCCCACCACGUAGGUGAAAGGUUGUUGCUAUCACUCUGUGGCCAACAGCGUGCUGGGCACCAGGGUCACACAGAACACUUUCACAUCUUCUGGAUUCAGCCAUUUAAUUGAAGAUGCAGGCCUUGUCUUCCUGGAUGCUCCCCAUCAACCUUAUCAAUAUAAAAAUGACCUUUUCUGUUGGAUAAGUAACGUAAUUUUUUAUUUAAGUACUUUUUUAAAUAAAAAAGUAAUUUUUAUUUAAAAAAUAAAA